Molecule: long non-coding RNA, 493 nt
Filed under: Homo sapiens (human)
Lineage: Eukaryota; Metazoa; Chordata; Mammalia; Primates; Hominidae
Description: non-protein coding lnc-TXN2-2:1
Source: RNAcentral
UAAAGGGGGGGUUCUCUGUUUGUUUGCUUCUUGUAGCCCCCUUGACCUCACCAGUAAGGCAGCUAAGGGGGAAACGGAGCAGGGCAUUGAAGCCACACGGGGCUGAGUCUGACCCUAGGUUUUGUGCCUUGUCUGAGCCCCAUUUCCCCCACCUGUAAAAUGAGUAUGUAUGUGCCUCAUGAAAUUAUUGCAAGGAUUGAGUGAGAACAUGCAGCGCUUCCUAGCAGGUCCUUGGUCUAUGCAGCUUUACGGUGAAGGUGAUGACUUGGACACUCCCAGCCUAGAACUUGGCCCACAGAAAGGUUUACAUCAGCCCUCGUUGUCUGGGAGUGGAAAUGCUCUCAACGUUUCAACCAAAGAUCUGAGAGUAGAAUACAUUCUGUCUUUAAGGUGCUAGCUGUUCAUUUUCCAGACAAACCCACAAAUAAGUAAAAAGAGAAACGGAGGGAGGGAGGGAGAGUAUUCUCUGGGAAAACAGGGAGAAAUAAAAGAU